This 513-nucleotide ribosomal RNA is filed under the name Enterococcus durans. Its description in RNAcentral is "bacterial SSU rRNA". It matches the Rfam family "Bacterial small subunit ribosomal RNA", at positions 98 to 597 of the family's 1533-position model. Lineage: Bacteria; Bacillati; Bacillota; Bacilli; Lactobacillales; Enterococcaceae. The record is from RNAcentral.
GCGAACGGGUGAGUAACACGUGGGUAACCUGCCCAUCAGAAGGGGAUAACACUUGGAAACAGGUGCUAAUACCGUAUAACAAUCGAAACCGCAUGGUUUUGAUUUGAAAGGCGCUUUCGGGUGUCGCUGAUGGAUGGACCCGCGGUGCAUUAGCUAGUUGGUGAGGUAACGGCUCACCAAGGCCACGAUGCAUAGCCGACCUGAGAGGGUGAUCGGCCACAUUGGGACUGAGACACGGCCCAAACUCCUACGGGAGGCAGCAGUAGGGAAUCUUCGGCAAUGGACGAAAGUCUGACCGAGCAACGCCGCGUGAGUGAAGAAGGUUUUCGGAUCGUAAAACUCUGUUGUUAGAGAAGAACAAGGAUGAGAGUAACUGUUCAUCCCUUGACGGUAUCUAACCAGAAAGCCACGGCUAACUACGUGCCAGCAGCCGCGGUAAUACGUAGGUGGCAAGCGUUGUCCGGAUUUAUUGGGCGUAAAGCGAGCGCAGGCGGUUUCUUAAGUCUGAUGUGA